UACGUAGGGUGCAAGCGUUGUCCGGAAUUAUUGGGCGUAAAGAGCUCGUAGGCGGUUUGUCGCGUCGGCUGUGAAAUCCCGAGGCUCAACCUCGGGCCUGCAGUCGAUACGGGCAAACUAGAGUACGGCAGGGGAGACUGGAAUUCCUGGUGUAGCGGUGAAAUGCGCAGAUAUCAGGAGGAACACCGGUGGCGAAGGCGGGUCUCUGGGCCGAAACUGACGCUGAGGAGCGAAAGCGUGGGGAGCGAACAGG
RNAcentral lists this ribosomal RNA (253 nucleotides) under uncultured bacterium. Its description in RNAcentral is "partial 16S ribosomal RNA". It matches the Rfam family "Bacterial small subunit ribosomal RNA", at positions 524 to 776 of the family's 1533-position model. The record is from RNAcentral.